AAAACCCAAAUGCCACCACUGAAGCCCACUGCCUCCACCCUAAACCAAUGAUCAAAACCCAUCUUAAGACAAAUCAUAUCAGCUCGGAAGCCAUUAACUUGAGUCUCCACCAGAACUAAAAUGAAACGUUUAAAUAGAGCGCAAAAAUCAUGAAGGAUACAUUGGCUUCUCUUGCCCACAAUACCCUGUAUAUUCUAUGCUAAAAUAGACAUAAUACUAAGCAAUAAGGAAGAGAACACAACUAUCAUGUCACAAGUCAAGUCAAACAUUACCCUUAAAGAUAAAAGAGAACUAGGUUUGAAACCCCUUUUUAUAACAAUAUCACAAUCAUCCAUCAAAAGAGAUUCACAAACCUGAUGAGGAGCACCCUCAUUACUAAUAAGGAUAUUUAAAAUAUCCCGCAGGAUCCCAUGAUCAUGAGACAGUAAAGUUCUCGGAUCAUUAAUCAGAGAAUUGUUAGACACUUUACGGCAAUCAACUAUACCAAUUCCAGCCUUACCAACUACCACCACAUGAUCAUCAAGUUCAACUGCAGAGAUGGACUUUUUAGUCCUAUGAGGAUAGCAUGAAAAUGUACCUCCAGUAUCAGCAGACACAACCACAGGGGUAACUAGCCCAGAAUUAGCCUUAGAAACAGAUGGAACCAGCCUAGUCUCAGGAGUAGCAGAUUCCUGUCAUGCCUAACAGGGAUGAAAGAACAGGUACCAACCCGAGCUUUGGAUUGAAGGGAGUUCAUCAAUGGAGAACUCAAAGGAAUUGGCACACAUGCAACAUUAUCAUUGCUAGCAUCAUCCACUGGGGUGUUAUUUAAAACACCAAAUCGAUUAACAGCAGGAA
This 837-nucleotide long non-coding RNA is filed under the name Manihot esculenta (cassava). RNAcentral describes it as "long non-coding RNA (MESC_LNC009013)". Lineage: Eukaryota; Viridiplantae; Streptophyta; Magnoliopsida; Malpighiales; Euphorbiaceae. The record is from RNAcentral.